This is a non-coding RNA of Astyanax mexicanus (Mexican tetra), 84 nucleotides long. The record is from the annotation of a RefSeq genome assembly. NCBI's taxonomy places the organism in Eukaryota, Metazoa, Chordata, Actinopteri, Characiformes, Acestrorhamphidae.
GUCAGAACGGCCGAGCGGUCUAAGGUGCCAGACUCCGAUUCUAGUCUCCAAAUGGAGGCGUGGGUUCAAAUCCCACUUCUGACA